RNAcentral lists this small nucleolar RNA (77 nucleotides) under Fukomys damarensis (Damara mole-rat). RNAcentral describes it as "miRNA (ENSFDAG00000002344.1)". It matches the Rfam family "Small nucleolar RNA SNORD59". Rfam says of the family: U59 belongs to the C/D class of snoRNA which contain the C (UGAUGA) and D (CUGA) box motifs. Most of the members of the box C/D family function in directing site-specific 2'-O-methylation of substrate RNAs. The record is from RNAcentral. Lineage: Eukaryota; Metazoa; Chordata; Mammalia; Rodentia; Bathyergidae.
AUCCUUCGCUGAUGAGCAGCUUCUGACUUUCGUUCUUCUGAGUUUGGUGAAGCCAGAUGCCAUUCCUGAGAAGGGAA